Bombus terrestris (buff-tailed bumblebee) is the source of this 420-nucleotide long non-coding RNA. RefSeq lists it as uncharacterized. The transcript has 2 exons. Lineage: Eukaryota; Metazoa; Arthropoda; Insecta; Hymenoptera; Apidae. The record is from RefSeq and is a predicted model, not a curated record.
GCACCAUAUACAAUGUUCGAAUUGAAAUUUGAUGUAUCGCGAAUCCGAUCUGGUAAAUUAUUGAUAUCACUGAUCAGAGGUCACCUCUGCGGUCGAGUUCGAAGGCGUAGAUUCUUAUAUUCAUACUCUUCUAUCAAAGUUUAAGACACCUGACGAUAUCCUACGGAUCAAAGAGGAAAUGUUUCCUUCCACCUGACGCGACUAUGCCGCCUCUCUCGGGAAAUUUCCAGUCAAUGUCAGCUAAAUUGUAACACGUGUAUGCGCUCUCUAUCGUAUGGUUCUCUAUUCUCUAUAUGCAUGCUAUAUGCAAUGCGCCAGUCGAUGUCGAUAUGGAUGAAAGGACUUUGAUUGGCUGAUUGGUUACACACCGAAAUAUCUGAAAAAUAAGCUUUUUAUGCAAAAUAAAAUUGACGCAAUGAA